CUCUGCUCAUCUCACUUUCCUUUUGAAUACAGAUUACCACUAAUGCUUUAAAGAUGAUCUGAAUCUCCUGAACCUCAACAUCCUGAAAAUAUGAGCCCUCCAACUGUAAGGAUGAAAGUUAAGAGAAGAAAAACAAUUGUGAAAAUGAUGAAGACAAAGAUGAUAACGAGACCAUGAACAGUGAGCGAUCGUGUGUGUGUAGGAGGUGCUGGCUGACUGCAUGUCCUCGUUUAAGUUAACCGAGCUGCAGAGAGAGCACACUCAGGAAAAGCUGAGGUUUGAUGCAGAUGGGAACAGACACCUGGCUCUCUGGAGAGGCCAGCAGCAGGACUGGAGCCAUGGCCAGUUAUGGAUAUGAGUGCAUGUUUGGAUAAACUUUGUCCAACAUUACAGCCUGUUCAUCAACUAUCUGUGUUUCAUUGAUUACGGAAGUACAUUAUUUUAUACUUGUAAUAAAAAGAAGCUGUUUCACAUUUAGGUUUUGCUUUUAAGGGACAAUAACAAAAAAGCAAAAUGACACUGAGACUGUAAAAUCAGGAUGGGUCAGCGUCAGGCAAUUACCAUAAAAGGAUUACCCAAGUUCAA
This is a long non-coding RNA of Dicentrarchus labrax (European seabass), 585 nucleotides long. RefSeq lists it as uncharacterized. The record is from RefSeq and is a predicted model, not a curated record. The transcript is spliced from 3 exons. NCBI's taxonomy places the organism in Eukaryota, Metazoa, Chordata, Actinopteri, Moronidae.